UUUUUUUUUUAAAUCGCAGAAAAAAAAAUCGGAUGUGACUAAAUUCGCAGAGGAGACGAAUUCACGGCGAAGUGUAAAAAUAGAGAACGGGAAUAAUAACGACACUUGCAGGAAAAAGAGAGAUCCAAAGUAGGAAUGAAGCGAAAGACACAAGGAGGAAGGGUGGAAAAAAGAAGAAAAGGAAGGAGAAGAGGGAGAUGAAGGGGGGGCACACAACUAAUAGAAUAUGCAAGAAAGAGAAGGGGGGGGAGAGAGGGAGAGAGGGGGAGAGAGGGAGAGAGAGGGAGAGAGAGAGACCCAAAAAAUGAAUGCGUUUAAACGGUGAGCCUAGCGAAGCAAUGUUUCCGAAAGGGGGAUCUGCGCGAAUGUCUGUAUAUAGUGAACUUUGACACUACUAUUGAAA
Molecule: non-coding RNA, 403 nt
Organism: Lonchura striata (white-rumped munia)
Lineage: Eukaryota; Metazoa; Chordata; Aves; Passeriformes; Estrildidae
Source: RefSeq, a predicted model, not a curated record